Molecule: long non-coding RNA, 409 nt
Filed under: Gallus gallus (chicken)
Lineage: Eukaryota; Metazoa; Chordata; Aves; Galliformes; Phasianidae
Source: RNAcentral
AAGACAUAGGUCCAAUAUACUGAGUUAUGGCAGCGGAUGACGGUGGGUGGAUUUAGUGCGCUAAGACUUAAAAGCAUGUUUCAAGUCAAUUUCUCCCUCUAGACUGCGCCGUCUUGCCCUUACUCUGCCCACCAUCAGUUCAGCUCCUAUGCUCGUGCACAUCACACGACACAAGGCCAUCAGCAGCAGUGGCUUCCAGUGCUGUCCCAGCUACAGAGAACUCAGACCUCAUACUCUGUUGAUACAGCCUUUGCAAGGGUCUGUCAUUCAGUGAUUUUAUGUCUCACUCCUGCUGCCCCUGGGCUGUGAGACCAAUGACUCUGGAGCCAGACUGUUGGGAGACCCAGGGCUGCUGUUGUCUGAGCUGCAGAGGAGACACGGAUCCCUGCUAAAGCUAAUUUAAACCUGG